CCUACGGGAGGCAGCAGUGGGGAAUAUUGGACAAUGGGCGAGAGCCUGAACCAGCCAAGUCGCGUGAAGGAUGAAGGAUCUAUGGUUUGUAAACUUCUUUUAUAUGGGAGAAAAGUGACGAUCGUGUUCCUUUUUGUAUGUACCAUAUGAAUAAGCAUCGGCUAACCUAGUGCCAGCAGCCGCGGUACUGCGGUGGAUACGAGCGUUAGCCGGUUUUAAUGGGUGUAAAGGGUGCGUUGGGAGGUCAGUAAGUCAGCGGUGAAAGUUUGGGGCUCAACCACAAAAUUGCUGUUGAAACAGGUUGACUUGAGUGAGAUAGAGGUAGGCGGAAUGCGCGGUGUAGCGGUGAAAUGCGUAGAUAUAGGGAAGAACACCAAUGGCGAAGGCAGCUUACUGGACAUUAACUGACGCUGAGGCACGAAAGCGUGGGGAGCAAACAGGAUUAGAUACCCUUGUAGUC
RNAcentral lists this ribosomal RNA (460 nucleotides) under uncultured bacterium. Its description in RNAcentral is "partial 16S ribosomal RNA". It matches the Rfam family "Bacterial small subunit ribosomal RNA", at positions 338 to 795 of the family's 1533-position model. The record is from RNAcentral.